GGUGGAUUUUUAGCCCUGGUGGGUAGCUUCCCGGAAACGAAAGUCUUCCGGUUCCGGGGGAAGUAUGGUUGCAAAGCUGAAACUUAAAGGAAUUGACGGAAGGGCACCACCAGGAGUGGAGCCUGCGGCUUAAUUUGACUCAACACGGGGAAACUCACCCGGCCCGGACACCGUAAGGAUUGACAGAUUGAUAGCUCUUUCAUGAUUCGGUGGUUGGUGGUGCAUGGCCGUUCUUAGUUCGUGGAUCGAUUUGUCUGGUUUAUUCCGAUAACGAGCGAGACUCUAGCCUACUAAAUAGUAACGAGAUUAUCAAUGUCUCAGUUGCUUCUUAGAGGGAUUUUCGGUGUUUAGCCGCACGAGAUUGAGCAAUAACAGGUCUGUGAUGCCCUUAGAUGUCCGGGGCUGCACGCGCGCUACACUGGCGAAAUCAGCGUGCUGUAUCCAUUCUCGAAAGGGAUUGGUAAACCCAUGAAAAUUUGCCGUGCUUGGGAUCGGAAAUUGCAAUUAUUUUCCGUGAACGAGGAAUUCCAAGUAAGUGCGAGUCAUCA
Molecule: ribosomal RNA, 548 nt
Filed under: Acrobeloides sp. GSb7
Lineage: Eukaryota; Metazoa; Nematoda; Chromadorea; Rhabditida; Cephalobidae
Also listed under: 2 other names
Description: SSU rRNA
Rfam family: Eukaryotic small subunit ribosomal RNA
Source: RNAcentral